GACGAACGCUGGCGGCGUGCUUAACACAUGCAAGUCGAACGGAAAGGCCCUGCUUUUGUGGGGUGCUCGAGUGGCGAACGGGUGAGUAACACGUGAGUAACCUGCCCUUGACUUUGGGAUAACUUCAGGAAACUGGGGCUAAUACCGGAUAGGAGCUCCUGCUGCAUGGUGGGGGUUGGAAAGUUUCGGCGGUUGGGGAUGGACUCGCGGCUUAUCAGCUUGUUGGUGGGGUAGUGGCUUACCAAGGCUUUGACGGGUAGCCGGCCUGAGAGGGUGACCGGCGACAUUGGUACUGAGAUACGGCCCAGACUCCUACGGGAGGCAGCAGUGGGGAAUAUUGCACAAUGGGCGGAAGCCUGAUGCAGCAACGCCGCGUGCGGGAUGACGGCCUUCGGGUUGUAAACCGCUUUCGCCUGUGACGAAGCGUGAGUGACGGUAAUGGGUAAAGAAGCACCGGCUAACUACGUG
This 468-nucleotide ribosomal RNA is filed under the name uncultured bacterium. RNAcentral's name for it is "partial 16S ribosomal RNA". It matches the Rfam family "Bacterial small subunit ribosomal RNA", at positions 28 to 507 of the family's 1533-position model. The record is from RNAcentral.